GCAUUAACUUAGGGUCCGAAUGGU
This 24-nucleotide non-coding RNA is filed under the name Arabidopsis thaliana (thale cress). Lineage: Eukaryota; Viridiplantae; Streptophyta; Magnoliopsida; Brassicales; Brassicaceae. The record is from RNAcentral.